RNAcentral lists this ribosomal RNA (492 nucleotides) under uncultured bacterium. RNAcentral's name for it is "partial 16S ribosomal RNA". It matches the Rfam family "Bacterial small subunit ribosomal RNA", at positions 29 to 507 of the family's 1533-position model. The record is from RNAcentral.
AGUGAACGCUGGCGGUAGGCCUAACACAUGCAAGUCGAACGGCAGCACAGUAAGAGCUUGCUCUUACGGGUGGCGAGUGGCGGACGGGUGAGGAAUACAUCGGAAUCUACUUUUUCGUGGGGGAUAACGUAGGGAAACUUACGCUAAUACCGCAUACGACCUACGGGUGAAAGCAGGGGAUCUUCGGACCUUGCGCGAUUGAAUGAGCCGAUGUCGGAUUAGCUAGUUGGCGAGGUAAAGGCCCACCAAGGCGACGAUCCGUAGCUGGUCUGAGAGGAUGAUCAGCCACACUGGAACUGAGACGCGGUCCAGACUCCUACGGGAGGCAGCAGUGGGGAAUAUUGGCCAAUGGGCGCAAGCCUGAUCCAGCCAUACCGCGUGGGUGAAGAAGGCCUUCGGGUUGUAAAGCCCUUUUGUUGGGAAAGAAAAGCAGCAGGUUAAUACCCCGCUGUUCUGACGGUACCCAAAGAAUAAGCACCGGCUAACUUCGUG